This 464-nucleotide ribosomal RNA is filed under the name Vreelandella stevensii. Its description in RNAcentral is "partial 16S ribosomal RNA". It matches the Rfam family "Bacterial small subunit ribosomal RNA", at positions 338 to 793 of the family's 1533-position model. Lineage: Bacteria; Pseudomonadati; Pseudomonadota; Gammaproteobacteria; Oceanospirillales; Halomonadaceae. The record is from RNAcentral.
CCUACGGGAGGCUGCAGUGGGGAAUAUUGGACAAUGGGGGGAACCCUGAUCCAGCCAUGCCGCGUGUGUGAAGAAGGCCCUCGGGUUGUAAAGCACUUUCAGUGAGGAAGAACGCCUGGUGGUUAAUACCCAUCAGGAAAGACAUCACUCACAGAAGAAGCACCGGCUAACUCCGUGCCAGCAGCCGCGGUAAUACGGAGGGUGCGAGCGUUAAUCGGAAUUACUGGGCGUAAAGCGCGCGUAGGUGGCUUGAUAAGCCGGUUGUGAAAGCCCCGGGCUCAACCUGGGAACGGCAUCCGGACGGGCAGGUCAGAGUGCAGGAGAGGGAGGGAGAACUGGGGGGGGAGCGCCGAAAUGCGUAGAGCCCGGGAGGAGGAGCGGUGGCGAAGGGAGCCUGCAGGACUGACACUGACACUGGGGUUCGACGGCGUGAGUCGCACACCGGGUCAGGGGCCCUAGUGUUG